GGGGUUGCAGCUCAGUGGUAGAGCACUUGCCUAGCAUGUAUGAGGCACUGGGUUUGAUUCUCAGCACCA
This 69-nucleotide transfer RNA is filed under the name Urocitellus parryii (Arctic ground squirrel). RNAcentral's name for it is "Spermophilus parryii (Arctic ground squirrel) tRNA". It matches the Rfam family "tRNA". From Rfam's summary of the family: Transfer RNA (tRNA) molecules are approximately 80 nucleotides in length. The record is from Rfam by way of RNAcentral. Lineage: Eukaryota; Metazoa; Chordata; Mammalia; Rodentia; Sciuridae. RNAcentral also lists the same sequence under 2 other names.